CAUAUCAAUAAGCGGAGGAAAAGAAACUAACAAGGAUUCCCCUAGUAACUGCGAGUGAAGCGGGAUAAGCUCAAAUUUAAAAUCUGGCGUGCCUCUGGCCGUCCGAGUUGUAGUCUGGAGAAGUGUUUUCCGCAUUGAACCGUGUACAAGUCCCUUGGAACAGGGCGUCAUAGAGGGUGAGAAUCCCGUCUUUGACACGGACUAUCAGUGCUUUGUGAUGCGCUCUCAACGAGUCGAGUUGUUUGGGAAUGCAGCUCAAAAUGGGUGGUAAAUUCCAUCUAAAGCUAAAUAUAGGCGAGAGACCGAUAGCGAACAAGUACCGUGAGGGAAAGAUGAAAAGCACUUUGGAAAGAGAGUUAAACAGUACGUGAAAUUGCUGAAAGGGAAACGCUUGAAGUCAGUCGCGUCUGCCAGGACUCAGCCUUGCCUCACAGCUUGGUGCACUUUCUGGUUUGACGGGUCAGCAUCGAUUUCGAUCGUCAGAUAAAGUCGAAGGGAAUGUGGCACCUUUACGGGUGUGUUAUAGCCCUAUCGAUCACAUAUGUCGAUCGUGAUCGAGGAUCGCAGCACGCCCUUUGUGGCUGGGACAUUUAUGUCUACAUUACGUGCUUAGGAUGCUGAC
Molecule: ribosomal RNA, 622 nt
Filed under: Hydnellum atrorubrum
Lineage: Eukaryota; Fungi; Basidiomycota; Agaricomycetes; Thelephorales; Thelephoraceae
Description: partial large subunit ribosomal RNA
Rfam family: Eukaryotic large subunit ribosomal RNA
Source: RNAcentral